RNAcentral lists this long non-coding RNA (697 nucleotides) under Onthophagus taurus. RNAcentral's name for it is "uncharacterized LOC111418467, transcript variant X1". Lineage: Eukaryota; Metazoa; Arthropoda; Insecta; Coleoptera; Scarabaeidae. The record is from RNAcentral.
AAGAAAAAAAACAUACCAAGGAGUAUUAUAAAAGAAUUUCAGGAUUCCCUAGUGUGAUAGGUGCAAUAGAUGGAACACAUAUUAAAAUUGAUAAGCCAAAAGAAAGAGAGACCGAUUAUUGCAACAGAAAAGAUUAUUUUUCUAUUAUAUUGCAAGGAACAUGCAAUGAAAAAAAAAUUUAUAGACAUAUUUAUUGGAUAUCCAGGAUCUAUUCAUGAUGCACGUGUCUUCCAAAACUCUUCAUUGUAUAAUUUUUUAUAUAGUGAUGAUGAAGGCAAUUAUUUAGAUUAUUUAACAAUAGCUAUAUAUUAGGAGAUAGUGCAUAUCCAUUAUCAGAACGUGUAAUGGUGCCAUAUAAAGAUAAUGGACAUCUAACAUCGGCACAGAAACACUUCAAUAGAAAACACAGCCAAUGCCGUGUAUCUAUUGAACACACGUUCGGAUUGUUGAAACAAAGAUGCCGGCAGUUGUAUCACCUGAAGCUUCGUGGCCCAGAAAGAAUUUGUCAUUUCAUUCGUGCAUGUUGUGUUUUACACAAUUUGGCCGAUGAAGAAAACAUAAAUGUUUUACAACAUGAUUCAGUGGAUGAUGUGCAACCAGCAACGCAGGACGAAAAAGAGAACAGAAAUAGAGGAACAGUGUUAAGAAACGAAAUUUGUAAUUAUUUAUUUAUGAAUAGAUAAAAAAUUCAAUCUCA